UGGGGAAUCUUAGACAAUGGGGGAAACCCUGAUCUAGCCAUGCCGCGUGAGCGAUGAAGGCCUUAGGGUUGUAAAGCUCUUUCAGCUGGGAAGAUAAUGACGGUACCAGCAGAAGAAGCCCCGGCUAACUCCGUGCCAGCAGCCGCGGUAAUACGGAGGGGGCUAGCGUUGUUCGGAAUUACUGGGCGUAAAGCGCACGUAGGCGGAUUAGUCAGUCAGAGGUGAAAUCCCAGGGCUCAACCCUGGAACUGCCUUUGAUACUGCUAGUCUUGAGGUCGAGAGAGGUGAGUGGAAUUCCGAGUGUAGAGGUGAAAUUCGUAGAUAUUCGGAGGAACACCAGUGGCGAAGGCGGCUCACUGGCUCGAUACUGACGCUGAGGUGCGAAAGUGUGGGGAGCAAACAGGAUUAGAUACCCUGGUAGUCCACGCCGUAAACGAUGAAUGCCAGUCGUCGGGUUGCAUGCAAUUCGGUGACACACCUAACGGAUUAAGCAUUCCGCCUGGGGAGUACGGUCGCAAGAUUAAAACUCAAAGGAAUUGAC
RNAcentral lists this ribosomal RNA (541 nucleotides) under uncultured bacterium. RNAcentral's name for it is "partial 16S ribosomal RNA". It matches the Rfam family "Bacterial small subunit ribosomal RNA", at positions 355 to 914 of the family's 1533-position model. The record is from RNAcentral.